This 374-nucleotide ribosomal RNA is filed under the name uncultured bacterium. Its description in RNAcentral is "partial 16S ribosomal RNA". It matches the Rfam family "Bacterial small subunit ribosomal RNA", at positions 355 to 717 of the family's 1533-position model. The record is from RNAcentral.
UGGGGAAUAUUGCACAAUGGGCGCAAGCCUGAUGCAGCCAUGCCGCGUGUGUGAAGAAGGCCUUCGGGUUGUAAAGCACUUUCAGCGAGGAGGAAGGUGGUGAACUUAAUACGUUCAUCAAUUGACGUUACUCGCAGAAGAAGCACCGGCUAACUCCGUGCCAGCAGCCGCGGGUAAUACGGAGGGUGCAAGCGUUAAUCGGAAUUACUGGGCGUAAAGCGCACGCAGGCGGUUUGUUAAGUCAGAUGUGAAAAUCCCCCGGGCUCAACCUGGGAACUGCAUUUGAAACUGGCAAGCUAGAGUCUCGUAGAGGGGGGUAGAAUUCCAGGUGUAGCGGUGAAAAUGCGUAGAGAUCUGGAGGAAUACCGGUGGCG